RNAcentral lists this ribosomal RNA (404 nucleotides) under uncultured bacterium. RNAcentral describes it as "bacterial SSU rRNA". It matches the Rfam family "Bacterial small subunit ribosomal RNA", at positions 355 to 775 of the family's 1533-position model. The record is from RNAcentral.
CAGGGAAUCUUGCGCAAUGGACGGGAGUCCGACGCAGCGACGCCGCGUGGGUGAAGACGGCCUUCGGGUUGUAAAGCCCUUUUCUGGGGGAAGAGAGAGGACGGUACUCCAGGAAUAAGUGUCGGCUAACUACGUGCCAGCAGCCGCGGUAAUACGUAGGACACGAGCGUUAUCCGGAUUUGCUGGGCGUAAAGCGCCUGUAGGCGGUUCUUCAAGUCGUUUGUGAAAGCCCUGGGCUCAACCUGGGGAGGCCAAGUGAUACUGGAGGACUUGAGGGUGACAGAGGGGAGUGGAAUUUCCGGUGUAGCGGUAAAAUGCGCAGAUAUCGGGAGGAACACCAGUGGCGAAGGCGGCUCCCUGGGUCACCCCUGACGCUGAGAGGCGAAAGCCAGGGGAGCAAACAG